UACGGGGGGAGCAAGCGUUGUUCGGAUUUACUGGGCGUAAAGGGCGCGUAGGCGGCGUGACAAGUCACUUGUGAAAUCUCCGGGCUUAACCCGGAGCGGCCAAGUGAUACUGUCGUGCUAGAGUGCGGAAGGGGCUACUGGAAUUCUCGGUGUAGCGGUGAAAUGCGUAGAUAUCGAGAGGAACACCUGCGGCGAAGGCGGGUUGCUGGGCCGACACUGACGCUGAAGCGCGAAAGCCAGGGGAGCGAACGGG
RNAcentral lists this ribosomal RNA (253 nucleotides) under uncultured bacterium. Its description in RNAcentral is "partial 16S ribosomal RNA". It matches the Rfam family "Bacterial small subunit ribosomal RNA", at positions 524 to 776 of the family's 1533-position model. The record is from RNAcentral.